AUUCAGGCACUACAUAAUGAAUACAAUAAUAAUUUAAUAUCAAUGCGGUCUAUAACAACUACACAAACGACAUACCUAAUAAUAUAUACCUAUAUAUUAUUAAUCAAUUAAUUUUAAAAGAAGAUACUGACAUACAUGGGUGGUCCACUGUUAUAGGUGAGAAUUUGGGAAGGUAUAGAUGGGAAAUGUAAUGUACAUCUGUACGCAAC
Molecule: non-coding RNA, 209 nt
Organism: Cinara cedri
Lineage: Eukaryota; Metazoa; Arthropoda; Insecta; Hemiptera; Aphididae
Source: the annotation of a GenBank genome assembly